This 321-nucleotide unclassified non-coding RNA is filed under the name uncultured Thelephoraceae. RNAcentral's name for it is "sequence contains ITS2". The stretch from base 1 to 52 matches the Rfam family "5.8S ribosomal RNA", at positions 103 to 154 of the family's 154-position model. The record is from RNAcentral. Lineage: Eukaryota; Fungi; Basidiomycota; Agaricomycetes; Thelephorales; Thelephoraceae.
AACGCACCUUGCGCUCCUUGGUAUUCCGAGGAGCAUGCCUGUUUGAGUGUCAUGAAAUUCUCAACUGCCCCAGGCUUUGUGGCCUGCGGGUGAAGUUGGACUUGGAGGUAUGCUGGCGCAUGAAUGGGCUUUUGUGCCCCGUCUCGCUUGUUGGCUCCUCUCGAAUGCAUGAGCUUUCCAAUCCUUGGCAAAGUAUCGUCGAUGUGAUAAUUGUCUACGUCGCCUGAGAAAGCCGAAAAGGGGAAAUCUUUGAUCACGCUGGGGUGACCUGCGUCUGACAAAUUCGACCUCAAAUCAGGUAGGACUACCCGCUGAACUUAA